UUUCCGUAGGUGAACCUGCGGAAGGAUCAUUAAAGUUAUAGUCCCCCGGCCCUCUGGGCUGGGGUCUUCUAAACCACCCUUUGUUUAUUACACCUUUGUUGCUUUGGCAGGCCUGCCCUCGGGCUGCUGGCUCCGGCCGGCUCGCGUCUGCCAGAGGACCUAAACUCUGUUUGUAUAUGAAGUCUGAGUACUAUAUAAUAGUUAAAACUUUCAACAACGGAUCUCUUGGUUCUG
This 234-nucleotide unclassified non-coding RNA is filed under the name plant metagenome. RNAcentral's name for it is "partial contains small subunit ribosomal RNA, internal transcribed spacer 1, and 5.8S ribosomal RNA". The record is from RNAcentral.